This is a non-coding RNA of Candidatus Staskawiczbacteria bacterium, 3675 nucleotides long. NCBI's taxonomy places the organism in Bacteria, Candidatus Staskawicziibacteriota. The record is from Rfam.
UCAGGAAAUUUUUUACGCUGUUAGACGGAUAGCUUGGUUUUGGUUUUGACGAAGGACGUGGCAAGCUGCGAUAAGUCUGGGGGAGUUGCAUGCAGGCUUUGAUCCCAGAAUUUCCGAAUGCGUCGAGAGACGGAAUCACGCCGGGAAUUGAAACAUCUUAGUACCGGCAGGAAAAGAAAAUAAAAAUGAUUCCCUUAUUAGCAGAGAGCGAAAAGGGAAGAGGGCAAACUGAAUCUUCUUUUGAAAAAGAGAUAGAGAUGUGGUGAAGAUCUAAACCUAAGUCAGUGAUUUGAACUUUGCUGGAAAGCAAGACCUUAGAAGGUGAAAGUCCUGUAAGAUAAAUUGAUAUGGAGCACUUCAAAGAGUAGGGCGUCCUGGAUUGGGCGUCUGAAUACAGCGGGAUUAACCGCUAACCCUAAAUAAAACCAAAGUCCGAUAGUGAACUAGUACCGCGAGGGAAAGCUGAAAAGUACUCUUAAUAGAGGGUUAAAAGACUUGAAAUCUAACAGCUACAUAUGGUUACUGCUCUUCGGAGUUGUAACGUACGUUUAGAAAAACGGGCCAGGGAGUUAUUCUAUGUGGCGAGGCUAAUCUUAGGAGUAACCGAAGGGAAACCAAGUAUGAAAAUGCGAAAGUCACAUGGAUUAGACCUGAAGCCAGAUGAUCUACUUAUGAGCAAGGUGAAGUCUCUUGAAAGGGGGAUGGAGGCCUGAACUGGUGUUAUGUGCAUGUACUCAAAUGACUUGUGAGUAGGGGUGAAAAGCCUAUCGAAUCUGGCGAUGGCUGGUUCCUGCUGAAAUAUGCCUACGUAUAGUCUUGUUUAGGCUGUUAGUGGUGUAAAGUACGGAUGGAAAUUGCAGGGGCGAUUGCCUACGGAUUUCUUUCCAACUCAGAAACUACUAACUCCAUAGAACAAGAAUCAGGGGCAGUAUGUAAGAUACUGUUCCGAGAGGGGAACAACCCAGACCAAAGUUAAGGUCCCAAAAUUUCUGCUAAGUGUAUCAAACAGUGUCUUGAACCUGAGACACUAGGGAUGUAAGCUUAGAAGCAGCUAUCAUUUAAAGAAAGCGUAACAGCUCACCUAUCGAGGUUCAGGGCCUGGAAAAUGGACGGGGCUAAGCAGAAUACCGAUACUUCGGCGGCAUUCAGAUGAAUGUUCGGGUAAGCAGGCGAGGUUUUUGCGCAGAAGCAUGUUCGAGAGAAUGUGUGGAGCGAAAACUUAUGAGAAUCCUGGUAAUAGUAGGAUGAGNNNNNNNNNNNNNNNNNNNNNNACUUAUGAGAAUCCUGGUAAUAGUAGGAUGAGAUUAUACUGAGAAUGUAUAAGGUCGUAAGGGCAAGGUUUCCUCGGCAAUAUAUGUUAACCGAGGGUUAGUCAGGGCCUAAGUUGCGUCUUAACUGAGCGUGACGAUGGACAUCAGGUUAAUAUUCCUGAACUAAUUAAUUUUACAUAAUGCAAUUCGCUUUCGGAUAGGCGUGCAUUCGGAAGAAUGUUUUAGAAAGAAAUCUGUUGAGGGUAAUCCACAGACGCAGAUGAAUUCCUAAAUCGUCGCUGAUUCCAAGAGCCAGUGAAAAGAUUGUAUUCUUGAUUAAUUACCUGUACCCAUAACCGACACUGGUGCCCUAGCUGAGAAGGCUAAGACCUGAAGGAUUAAACCAGUUAAGGGAAUUCGGCAAAUUGGCCCUGUAGCUUCGGCUGAAGGGGUGUCUAUUUUUGUGUGUUUCGAAAGUUGCAUGCAUUGAUAGAUCUCAGUAACAAGGAUGGUUCGACUGUUUACCAAAAACGUAGCCAAGUGCUAUUCCGAAAGGACGUGUAUACUUGGUGAGACCUGCCCAGUCGUGGUGUGUCAAACUCUUUUUCAAGGGAGCUAAGCCCCAUGAAACGGCGGGGGUAACUAUGACCCUCAAUCUUAGGGGGUGUUUAAAUCUGGCUGUAUGCUGGAAACUCCUGUUAAGUUAUUGAUACUUGGCGUUUAUCGUCAGUAAAAAUUCAAUAAAUAGGGACAAUCAGCAGGAAACCAAAAGUUUAAAUAUCUGACCUUCUAUAAAAGGUCAUGAACAAAGAACAGUUUGUGUAUUAUCUGACUGGAUUUAUGGAUGGCGAGAGUUGCUUUUGCAUUGCUCUCAAAAACCAGAAAUCUGCAAAAGUGAGAUGGGUUCUUGAUCCAGUAUUUCAUGUAACACAACAUUCAAUCAAUAAAGAAAUUCUAUAUGAACUUCAAAGGUUGUUUGGAUGUGGAGUUGUUAUAAAAAAAUACGGGCAACCCGACACAAUGCAAUUUGUAAUCCAGAGUAGAAAAGAUUUGGUCGAUAAGAUUAUUCCUUUUUUUAGAAAGUAUGAACUAAUCACGAAGAAAAAGGAUUUUGAAAUAUUUGCAGAAGUUGUUGAUGCAUUAAAUCAGCACAAACACGCAGAUAUUAAUGAAUUUAAGAAACUUCUGAGAAAAGUUUUUACAAUGAAUGGAGGAGGAAAACAACGAAGAUAUAAACUGGAUGAUGUUCUAAAAUCAUUGGGAUCCUCAGAGACUAUACGCCAGACGUGAAAGAUAUCUGGUGUGACCCAAAUUUAAGGGAAGCGCCGUGAGAGAAACCGUGGUGUCUUUUACGAUGAUAUAGUCCGACCUGCAUGGAAACAUGCAGAGGCUCGUUCGCACGAGUCCGCCGUAAUUUCAUUAAAGAGAUUAUGGUUUGUAGUUUUCUCGACGAGAAAAUGAAAGUAACAGUUUGCUUAAGGUAGCGUAAUGCCUUGUCGUCUGAAUGGCGACGUGCAUGAAUGGUUUAACGAAAUUGUCACUGUCCCUAGCUGGAAUCCUCUGAAAAUAUUUUUUCCGGUGCAAAAGCCGGAGACACCUAGUGGGAAGCUAAGACCUUGUGGAACUUUACUGCAACUUGUUGUUGUGAUUUUAUAUUGGAUGCAUAGAAUAAGUAGGAGCGUCGAAAUUAGAAUUUCGGUUCUGAUGGAGCAAAAGUGUAAUACUACUCAUCUUUUAUAAAAUUGCUUACUGUUUACAGGACAGCAGCAGGCGGGCAGUUUGGCUGGGGCGGCACCCUGCCGAAAAGAUAUCGGUAGGACCCAAAGACAAACUCAUCCAGCUUGGAAAUCUGGAGUUGAGUGUGAGGGCAAAAGUUUGUCUGACUGUAUUUUGAAAAGCAAGAAAUGCAGGAGAGAAAUCUGGGCCUAGUGAACCCACAUGCUCAUUUAAUAGGAGCUGUGUCUGAUAGAAAAGUUACCCCAAGGAUAAUAGGCUUGUCUCCUCCAAUAGUCCGAAUUGACGAGGAGGUUUGGUACUUCGCUGUCGGCUCUCCCUAUCCUGCGCGUGCAGUAGCGUGCAAGGGUGUCGGAGUUCACGCAUUAAAAGGGAUCGUUAGCUGGGUUAAGAACGUCGCGAGACAGUUUGUAUGAUAUCUACUAGGUGUGUUAUUGUCUGAGUGGAACGAGCUUCUAGUACGAGAGGAACGGGGCUUGGGUGCCUCUGGUGAGCAGUUGUCAUUGGCAGGCUGCGUAGCUACGCACUGUAUGGAUAAGAGCUGAAUGCAUCUAAGCUCGAAGCCAUCCGCAAAACGAGACAAUCAAGGCCGUCGUAAAAGACGACGUUGAUAGAGCUCUUGUGUAAGAUUCAAGCGCGCAAGUGCGAGAAUUUCAGCAUAGAGCUACUAAAAGCUUUACUUUUUUUGAGA